AGAGUACAAUUAUUGCCAAACAAAAAAAGACACCAUGAUCAUUCUAUUCUUCAGCAUUCUUUUUAGCAUUCUAGUCUCUGGUUCCUCGUUCAGCGACAAAGUCCGUCAGACUCCAGCUAACAUUUACGACAAACCAGGACAAACAGCCAAAAUCCAAUGUUCACACAAUAUUCCAAACUACUACAGAAUCCUCUGGUACAAGAAGUUAGAAAGACAGCUGCAGCUCCUGGGAUAUAUGGAUUAUGGCAACGCUAGUCCAGAGCCUGGACUGGAUGUGAAGAUGGAUGGAGAUGCAAGUCAAGGCAGGAACUGUACAUUAACUAUUGAAAACCUCAGUGUGAACAGCAGUGCAGUUUACUUCUGUGCUGCCAGUCUGCACAGUGCUGCAUAACACCGAUCCUCAGUACAAAAACCUCCUCGUCUCACAGUUUUCAUUUCUGUACAACAGUUA
Stegastes partitus (bicolor damselfish) is the source of this 451-nucleotide non-coding RNA. Lineage: Eukaryota; Metazoa; Chordata; Actinopteri; Pomacentridae. The record is from the annotation of a RefSeq genome assembly.